GAGAUCCUUCCCCGAAACUCUCUACUUCUCCUUCGGUGAGAACGAUACAGGUUUCGUUACGUUUUAACUUUUGCCGUUCAUGUUAUCAGUCCUCGGUUCAGGGUAACUCAAAAAGUUUCUCUGGGUAUGAUUGUCGUACUCGCUCGGCUGUGUAGAUCGAAUAUAAUUUGGACUCUUCCGAGCUUUAACCAAAUCAAAAUGACAGGAUUUAUUUUGUGGCCUGUGGUUCAAGACCGAAAAGCUAAACACGUUGUGUAAUUCGCUGCAGUUCAAACAACUCUAGGAACAAUGCAACACCAGGUAGACCAUACGUGCUGCGGCCCGGUAAGUGCUCUUAUUUAAGGUUUCAGGGGAUAGUUGCGUAGAGAAGUAGUUGUCCGAAUGUUAGAGUAGUUCUGAUUUUGGACUCGCGUUGGUCUGUCAACGUGUACCUCUUCUUGCGGGGUUGACCCGUUCAGAUACCGUUUGUUACAAAGCUAGUGCUCUAUAUCGUUGUUAAAAUUCGAGAGACAGAGGAACCUCAUUUUCGAACUAAAGUUGCUAGUUUCGGCGGUGUCAACUAGAUAAUCUUUUCGAAGUUCAAAGAAGACUGGCAGACCCUCAGUUCCUCUAGCUCAGCCGUUUAUUAAAACCUCAAGUGAGGCCUAGGGGACUGGAUGCCGGUGGACUGCAACCCGGUGACUGCGCACCCAGGCCCAGGUGUGCAGUCGCUCACGCGGCAUGCAGUCUCCUCGACGCAGGGGUAGAGUGUAGACGAGGUACCGGCGGCGGGAGGAGUUUGAAGGACCGGCCGCGGCGGCGGGAUUUAGCAAGGCCGCGGCGAGCGGGAGGUGAGAGGGCUGGAGGUGAUGACCAGCAGAGAGUGGAGGUGGUGGCGGCGGGCCGAGGCUGGGAACGACGUAGGCGUAGGGUGGAAGCAGCCUGGUGAGGCGGGUUGUGCCGAAGGGACCUGCGCUACUAACAUGGGGCACGAGGGACGAGGUCUAGACCGUCGCCGGAGGAGGAGAGGCAAAACAGGUUCGGUCAACUAGGUAAAAAGACACUUAGAUCUAGACUCCCGUAGGCCUAGAACUAAAGGAAGAAAACGACCGAGUAACCACUUUUCUCAUCCGAAGAGGGCUGGAGAGGUUAGCGGCGGCGGUCGCGGUAGUGCGUGCUCUCGUGCGCACGUGCGCUGGGCGCGGAGGACGGCGGAAGGCGGCCAGGGCCGGCGACGGCGGCGCUCGGGCGGCUGGUGGUGGUACGGAGGAGGAAAGGAGAGGAGAGAGAGAGAAGGAAGAGAGGGCAGAGUUCCGGCGCACGGGGAUGCCCAGUGCCGGUACCGGCGGCGGACUCGUGUUCGAGGUCGGCCGGCGGCGUGGACCGACGCGGUAGGCGGCAGGGACGCCACCCACCGCCGCCGCCGCCGUCCCGUCACCCACGACCGCCGCGGAGCAGGGUCGACUCCGUCGAGAGAAAAAACUCAGCGAGCUGAGUAUAUACAGCUGAUCAGGUCUGAUCAGCAGCUGAUCAGGUAGGUGCCGAGCUGAGCAAAACAAAGAGUAGAAAUCUUCAGAAACAUCACCUUCCUUCCCGUUCCGUUUUGGACAGAGUCAGAGAGGAGUAUACGUGUUGCGGUGAUUAGGUAAGGAGAUUAGAAGAGGACUUGUGUAUAAACCAGCGUCCCUUGUGGCUCAAUAGGAGACAAUCGAACCUCCUACCACGAUACCCGCUGGUGCAGCCGUUACCGUUGUCGCUUCCGUUGUUACUACAACUCUUGUACCACCAUCGGAUU
This 1774-nucleotide ribosomal RNA is filed under the name Triticum aestivum (bread wheat). RNAcentral's name for it is "partial small subunit ribosomal RNA". Lineage: Eukaryota; Viridiplantae; Streptophyta; Magnoliopsida; Poales; Poaceae. The record is from RNAcentral.